UGAGGAAUAUUGCUCAAUGGACGCAAGUCUGAAGCAGCGACGCCGCGUGGGUGAAGAAGGUCUUCGGAUCGUAAAGCCCUUUUCUGGGAGACGAGAUAGGACGGUAACCCAGGAAUAAGUGUCGGCUAACUACGUGCCAGCAGCCGCGGUAAAACGUAGGACGCAAGCGUUAUCCGGAAUUACUGGGCGUAAAGCGCGUGCAGGCGGGUCAGCAAGUCAUGCGUGAGAGCUCCUGGCUAAACUGGGAGAGGUCGGAUGAGACUGCUGGUCUGGAGUAUGUCAGAGGCGUGUGGAAUUCCGCGUGUAGUGGUGAAAUGCGUAGAGAUGCGGAGGAACACCAGUGGCGAAGGCGGCACGCGUGGGGCAUAACUGACGCUGAGGCGCGAAGCAUGGGGAGCGAACGGGAUUAGAAACCCGGUAGUCCAUGCGUAACGAUGUACACUAGACGUUCGGGCUACAUU
This 461-nucleotide ribosomal RNA is filed under the name uncultured bacterium. Its description in RNAcentral is "bacterial SSU rRNA". It matches the Rfam family "Bacterial small subunit ribosomal RNA", at positions 355 to 835 of the family's 1533-position model. The record is from RNAcentral.